Peromyscus californicus insignis is the source of this 409-nucleotide long non-coding RNA. RefSeq lists it as uncharacterized. The record is from RefSeq and is a predicted model, not a curated record. NCBI's taxonomy places the organism in Eukaryota, Metazoa, Chordata, Mammalia, Rodentia, Cricetidae. The transcript has 3 exons.
CUGAAACUCAGUCCUAGCAGAGGCUGGGGCCAGGAGACCAUGGUGCUCCUGUGGUCUCUCAGUGUAGUGUUCCUGGACGAUCAUUAAACCCAGAAAGAAGAAAAGGAGCUUACUAGUGUUAUUGCAGUGGAGCCUGAAACUUAACUGCCUAUCAACUGGAUUGUUUUACAACUUGAUCAGGAUGCAGCUCUCAGCUACUUCUCCAGCACCAUGCCUCCAUGCCUGUCUGUGUACCACCAUGAGCCCCACCAGGAUGAUCAUGGACUAACUCUCUGAAACUGCACUGGAGAUGGGACCUGGGUCGUCAGGAUUGGUGGCAAAUGCCUUUUCUCCCUGCUCUGUGAAGUUUUAUCUGGCUUGGGUCAUCAAGACUUAAUGUUGCUCAGUGGUAGAAUGCUUGCCUACUUUA